AUGUCUUGCUGCGGAGGAAACUGCGGCUGCGGCAGCGCCUGCAAGUGCGGCAACGGCUGCGGCGGCUGCAACAUGUACCCGGAGGCCGAGGCCGCCGGCGCCACCCUCCUCGUCUCCGCCACCGCCACCCACAAGGCG
This 138-nucleotide ribosomal RNA is filed under the name Triticum aestivum (bread wheat). RNAcentral describes it as "partial small subunit ribosomal RNA". Lineage: Eukaryota; Viridiplantae; Streptophyta; Magnoliopsida; Poales; Poaceae. The record is from RNAcentral.